UGAUGCAGCAACCCCGCGUGAGGGACGAAGGCCUUCGGGUUGUAAACCUCUUUUAGUAGGGAAGAAGCGACUGGGUUUUCCUGGGAGUGACGGUACCUGCAGAAAAAGCACCGGCUAACUACGUGCCAGCAGCCGCGGUAAUACGUAGGGUGCAAGCGUCGUCCGGAAUUAUUGGGCGUAAAGAGCUCGUAGGCGGUUUGUCGCGUCUGCUGUGAAAACCCGAGGCUCAACCUCGGGCCUGCAGUGGGUACGGGCAGACUAGAGUGCGGUAGGGGAGAUUGGAAUUCCUGGUGUAGCGGUGGAAUGCGCAGAUAUCAGGAGGAACACCAAUGGCGAAGGCAGAUCUCUGGGCCGUAACUGACGCUGAGGAGCGAAAGCAUGGGGAGCGAACAGGAUUAGAUACCCUGGUAGUCCAUGCCGUAAACGUUGGGAACUAGAUGUGGGGACCAUUCCACGGUCUCCGUGUCGCAGCUAACGCAUUAAGUUCCCCGCCUGGGGAGUACGGCCGCAAGGCUAAAACUCAAAGGAAUUGACGGGGGCCCGCACAAGCGGCGGAGCAUGCGGAUUAAUUCGAUGCAACGCGAAGAACCUUACCAAGGCUUGACAUAUACCGGAAACGGCUGGAAACAGUCGCCCCGCAAGGUCGGUAUACAGGUGGUGCAUGGUUGUCGUCAGCUCGUGUCGUGAGAUGUUGGGUUAAGUCCCGCAACGAGCGCAACCCUCGUCCUAUGUUGCCAGCACGUAAUGGUGGGAACUCAUGGGAUACUGCCGGGGUCAACCCGGAGGAAGGUGGGGAUGACGUCAAAUCAUCAUGCCCCUUAUGUCUUGGGCUUCACGCAUGCUACAAUGGCCGGUACAAAGGGCUGCGAUACCGCAAGGUGGAGCGAAUCCCAAAAAGCCGGUCUUAGUUCGGAUUGAGGUCUGCAACUCGACCUCAUGAAGUCGGAAUCGCUAGUAAUCGCGGAUCAGCAUGCCGCGGUGAAUACGUUCACGGGCCUUGUACACACCGCC
Molecule: ribosomal RNA, 1011 nt
Filed under: uncultured Cryobacterium sp.
Lineage: Bacteria; Bacillati; Actinomycetota; Actinomycetes; Micrococcales; Microbacteriaceae
Description: bacterial SSU rRNA
Rfam family: Bacterial small subunit ribosomal RNA
Source: RNAcentral